UGCUGGGCUGCUGGCACCGGUCCGCUGGGCGCUGGGAUUUGGGCUCCGAUUGGGCCUACUGCUUCGGCCUGCUACAGAUUUUUCUCUUUUUUUGACAGAUUUAUUGGGCUUGGGCUGCUAAAGGUAUUGGGCUGCCACUUUUAUUUUUUAUUAUUCCCUUUUUUGUUUUCUUUUUCUUUCUUUUUCUCUUUUUUUUUUCUUUUUCCCUUCUUCUUCUUCCCUUUUCUUUUUUCUGUCUUUCAAAUCCCAGCCACCGCUUCUCCACCGUCGUCCACUGCCGCCAUCGACUCCUCUUUGCACUCGGUGGCCGACGAUUCAAAGGUAAAUGCUUUUCCCUCCUCAAAACUUGAUUCUUGGCUGCUACUUUUUGUUGAUUUUGAUCUUUUUUUUUU
RNAcentral lists this long non-coding RNA (392 nucleotides) under Gossypium raimondii (Peruvian cotton). Its description in RNAcentral is "long non-coding RNA (GRAI_LNC007021)". Lineage: Eukaryota; Viridiplantae; Streptophyta; Magnoliopsida; Malvales; Malvaceae. The record is from RNAcentral.